UGGGGAAUAUUGCACAAUGGGCGAAAGCCUGAUGCAGCGACGCCGCGUGAGGGAUGACGGCCUUCGGGUUGUAAACCUCUUUCAGCAGGGACGAAGCGCAAGUGACGGUACCUGCAGAAGAAGCACCGGCUAACUACGUGCCAGCAGCCGCGGUAAUACGUAGGGUGCAAGCGUUGUCCGGAAUUACUGGGCGUAAAGAGUUCGUAGGCGGUUUGUCGCGUCGUUUGUGAAAACCAGCAGCUCAACUGCUGGCUUGCAGGCGAUACGGGCAGACUUGAGUACUGCAGGGGAGACUGGAAUUCCUGGUGUAGCGGUGAAAUGCGCAGAUAUCAAGAGGAACACCGGUGGCGAAGGCGGGUCUCUGGGCAGUAACUGACGCUGAGGAACGAAAGCGUGGGUAGCGAACAGG
RNAcentral lists this ribosomal RNA (409 nucleotides) under Acidobacteriota bacterium. Its description in RNAcentral is "Acidobacteria bacterium partial 16S ribosomal RNA". It matches the Rfam family "Bacterial small subunit ribosomal RNA", at positions 355 to 776 of the family's 1533-position model. Lineage: Bacteria; Pseudomonadati; Acidobacteriota. The record is from RNAcentral.